AGAGUUUGAUCAUGGCUCAGAAUCAACGCUGGCGGCGUGCCUCAGACAUGCAAGUCGAACGAUUAAACUUCCUUUCGGGGAAGAUAUAAAGUGGCGUACGGGUGAGUAACACGUAGGUAAUGUACCUUUGGGUGGGGAAUAACUUAGGGAAACUUAAGCUAAUACCGCAUAAUGCAGCGGCUCGAUAUCGAGACAGUUGUUAAAGGAGUAAUCCGCCUAAAGAGCAGCCUGCGGCAGAUUAGCUAGUUGGUAAGGGUAAUGGCUUACCAAGGCUACGAUCUGUAACCGACCUGAGAGGGUGGUCGGUCACACUGACACUGAAUAACGGGUCAGACUCCUACGGGAGGCAGCAGUCGGGAAUUUUGGGCAAUGGGCGAAAGCCUGACCCAGCAACGCCGCGUGAAGGAUGAAGUCUCUCGGGAUGUAAACUUCGUAAGAAUAGGGAGAAUAGAUGACGGUACUAUUUGUAAGGUCCGGCUAACUACGUG
Molecule: ribosomal RNA, 488 nt
Filed under: uncultured bacterium
Lineage: Bacteria
Description: bacterial SSU rRNA
Rfam family: Bacterial small subunit ribosomal RNA
Source: RNAcentral